CCCAGUGCCACUAAUAAACUUAACCUGAGAAGUCUCCCAAGUCAAUGGCUCUUCAAUAAAAGACUUCAUAAUUUACUUCCUUCUGUUUUACAGACUGGAAGCAACGCUAGGAAUUAACAGGAAUGGCACAUGACUGAUCUGCACGGUAUUCACCAAUAGGCGGGAGCACAUUCUCCUCCAAGCAAAUGAUUUCUCAUUCCUUGGAUGACUCUGUAAAUACACGUGCAGUACAGCUGGAGCUACAGAAAGUGCUAAAACAGAGUCAAUAGGUCAGAGAAAAUGACUGUGAGAGCUUGUGUACUGCAGCUGAUGGUUUGGCACAACCCUCCACCAAGAAGUCACUUCUCCGGAUGGGUUUCUUCUCCACUGCGUUUGACAAUAAUGUGAAUGAGAGCUGUGACUCCCUGUUGGCCUACAGUGAUGGAUUGCACAGCAGACUGGUGUUGGCAUA
Long non-coding RNA from Centrocercus urophasianus (Greater sage-grouse), 451 nucleotides. RefSeq lists it as uncharacterized. The transcript is spliced from 3 exons. Lineage: Eukaryota; Metazoa; Chordata; Aves; Galliformes; Phasianidae. The record is from RefSeq and is a predicted model, not a curated record.